This 450-nucleotide ribosomal RNA is filed under the name uncultured bacterium. RNAcentral describes it as "bacterial SSU rRNA". It matches the Rfam family "Bacterial small subunit ribosomal RNA", at positions 330 to 794 of the family's 1533-position model. The record is from RNAcentral.
GCCAGACUCCUACGGGAGGCAGCAGUGGGGAAUAUUGGGCAAUGGGCGCAAGCCUGACCCAGCAACGCCGCGUGAAGGAAGAAGGCUUUCGGGUUGUAAACUUCUUUUCUGAGGGACGAAGAAAGUGACGGUACCUCAGGAAUAAGCCACGGCUAACUACGUGCCAGCAGCCGCGGUAAUACGUAGGUGGCAAGCGUUAUCCGGAUUUAUUGGGUGUAAAGGGCGUGUAGGCGGGAAAGCAAGUCAGAUGUGAAAACUCAGGGCUCAACCCUGAGCCUGCAUUUGAAACUGUUUUUCUUGAGUGCUGGAGAGGCAAUCGGAAUUCCGUGUGUAGCGGUGAAAUGCGUAGAGAUCGGGAGGAACACCAGUGGCGAAGGCGGCCUACUGGGCUUUAACUGACGCUGAGGCACGAAAGCGUGGGUAGCAAACAGGAUUAGAUACCCCUGUAGG